UCCCCCAGUAACUGCGAGUGAAAAGGGAAAAGCCCAGCGCCGAAGCCGCCGCCCAGCAAUAGGGGCGGAGGGCAAUGUGGCGUUAAGGAAGAGCCUCUUUGACCAGACGUUUCGUUGAUCGAACCGCGGAAGCCCGAGUCCCCCUGACCGGGGCCACGGCCCAUGGCGGGUGCAAGGCCUCUUCGGCUUCGUUCGACGGUUCGGAGGUUGCUGGCUCCUUUCCUCAGAGUCGGGUUGCUUGAAAGUGCAGCUCUAAGUGGGUGGUAAACUCCACCUAAGGCUAAAUAUUACCAUGAGACCGAUAGCGAACAAGUACCGUGAGGGAAAGUUGCAAAGAACUUUGAAGAGAGAGUUCAAGAGUACGUGAAACCGCUCGGAGGCAAACGGGUGAGCCCUCGAAGGUCGAACGGGGGGAUUCAGCCAGUCGACUUGUUUUAAAAACUCCGCCGCAAGUCUAAAAAGGGCACUCCGGUGUCCGAAACGGACCCCUCUCGCAGGGGCCGGGCUUGCGGUCAAAAAUGCGAAGUGAGUCGGCUGGUGCACUUCCCCCUCAGUAGGACGCCGCGACCGGUCGGGUUCUUUAAAGUUUUGCGGCCAUCAGGCGAGAGAAUCGGGGCAGGUGUCCGUUUCCGCGUUUAGUCCGGCGUUGUCUUUUUUCCCUUCGCGGGGAAGAUCGCUUCACGGGCGACCGCGCGGUCGGAGUUACAGCCCCAUCUCGACCCGUGCACCGCCACCCGACCGACAAAUGGUCACGAAUCCGUUGACGCGUGCCCGCGUAAAAAAUGCGCUCGCCCUAGUCCUGGGCAGGCCGGACGCGCGAGUACAAAGUUCCUUUUUCUCCCGGAAACGGGGAGGGAAUCCGUCGGACGCCGGUACCAAAAACCACAAAGGCGACCGACGGCUCCGCGUCUGCCGCUGGCUCACGGGGACAAUCGCGUUCUGGCGUGGAGGCAU
Molecule: ribosomal RNA, 954 nt
Filed under: Stenotaenia sp. BM-1453
Lineage: Eukaryota; Metazoa; Arthropoda; Chilopoda; Geophilomorpha; Geophilidae
Description: eukaryotic LSU rRNA
Rfam family: Eukaryotic large subunit ribosomal RNA
Source: RNAcentral